UAUAACCAUUUAAUAUUAUUAUUUUUAAUUAAUAAUUUAAAAUAUACGAAUAGAUAGCGCGUAUUUAAAAAAGCGCUAUCUAUGAAAACCAAAUUUUUUAAAAAAAAUUACCAAUCCUUUCAAAAUAGAUUGCGCUUUCUCCUAUUAUGAUUAAAAUAUUUUCCUUCCCGCUGCUACGACUCCGCGACAUUCACUAUCACUGCCCGCGACGUUCACUGCGUAGCUUCUCUGUUUCAUUCGUGCUGCUAUUCUCAUUCAUCAUUGUUAGGGCUUUUCUCCUCCGUUUCAUCAAGGGCUCCUUCUCCUCCGUUCAUCAGUGCGUUAGGGCACCUUCGACGGUUCUUCGUAUGACGUCUCUGCUCGCUCGUUUUUCGACUCCCGUUUUCAACAGUGGCGCUUCGGACUGCGACAUUAAGGUUUGACAUAUUUUAGUUCCUUCUAUCUGAAUUAUUGGACCCAUAAUCUCGUUCCUUCUAUUUUGUAAAGUGCAAUUUGGCCCUUUUGUUUUCUUGACCCUAAUUUUUUCCUUUCCAAAUUUUUUUGUUGAUUAUAUAAACUGUAUACGAUCUCUUCCUCUCACUAAAAUGAUUGUGUUGUGUUGAAAGAAAUAACGAUAAAUAUUUGAUUGAGAUGGCCAUUGUUCGGCC
This 647-nucleotide long non-coding RNA is filed under the name Vigna radiata. Its description in RNAcentral is "long non-coding RNA (VRAD_LNC015756)". Lineage: Eukaryota; Viridiplantae; Streptophyta; Magnoliopsida; Fabales; Fabaceae. The record is from RNAcentral.